UAGAGUUUGAUCCUGGCUCAGAUUGAACGCUGGCGGCAUGCCUUACACAUGCAAGUCGAACGGUAACGCGGGGCAACCUGGCGACGAGUGGCGAACGGGUGAGUAAUGCAUCGGAACGUGCCCAGUAGUGGGGGAUAGCCCGGCGAAAGCCGGAUUAAUACCGCAUACGACCUAUGGGUGAAAGCGGGGGACCGUAAGGCCUCGCGCUAUUGGAGCGGCCGAUGUCAGAUUAGGUUGUUGGUGGGGUAAAAGCCUACCAAGCCGACGAUCUGUAGCUGGUCUGAGAGGACGACCAGCCACACUGGGACUGAGACACGGCCCAGACUCCUACGGGAGGCAGCAGUGGGGAAUUUUGGACAAUGGGGGCAACCCUGAUCCAGCCAUGCCGCGUGCGGGAAGAAGGCCUUCGGGUUGUAAACCGCUUUUGCCAGGGAAGAAACGCGCUGAGUUAACACCUCGGCGUAAUGACGGUACCUGAAGAAUAAGCACCGGCUAACUACGUGCCAGCAGCCGCGGUAAUACGUAGGGUGCAAGCGUUAAUCGGAAUUACUGGGCGUAAAGCGUGCGCAGGCGGCUUUGCAAGACAGAUGUGAAAUCCCCGGGCUCAACUGGGAACUGCAUUUGUGACUGCAUCGC
This 636-nucleotide ribosomal RNA is filed under the name uncultured bacterium. RNAcentral's name for it is "bacterial SSU rRNA". It matches the Rfam family "Bacterial small subunit ribosomal RNA", at positions 1 to 641 of the family's 1533-position model. The record is from RNAcentral.